GAUGAACGCUAGCGGGAGGCCUAACACAUGCAAGCCGAGCGGUAUUGUUUCUUCGGAAAUGAGAGAGCGGCGUACGGGUGCGGAACACGUGUGCAACCUGCCUUUAUCUGGGGGAUAGCCUUUCGAAAGGAAGAUUAAUACUCCAUAAUAUAUUGAACGGCAUCGUUUAAUAUUGAAAGCUCCGGCGGAUAGAGAUGGGCACGCGCAAGAUUAGCUAGUUGGUGAGGUAACGGCUCACCAAGGCGAUGAUCUUUAGGGGGCCUGAGAGGGUGAUCCCCCACACUGGUACUGAGACACGGACCAGACUCCUACGGGAGGCAGCAGUGAGGAAUAUUGGUCAAUGGGUGCAAGCCUGAACCAGCCAUCCCGCGUGAAGGACGACUGCCCUAUGGGUUGUAAACUUCUUUUGUAUAGGGAUAAACCUACCCUCGUGAGGGUAGCUGAAGGUACUAUACGAAUAAGCACCGGCUAACUCCGUGCCAGCAGCCGCGGUAAUACGGAGGGUGCAAGCGUUAUCCGGAUUUAUUGGGUUUAAAGGGUCCGUAGGCGGACUUAUAAGUCAGUGGUGAAAGCCUGUCGCUUAACGAUAGAACUGCCAUUGAUACUGUAAGUCUUGAGUAUAUUUGAGGUAGCUGGAAUAAGUAGUGUAGCGGUGAAAUGCAUAGAUAUUACUUAGAACACCAAUUGCGAAGGCAGGUUACCAAGAUAUAACUGACGCUGAGGGACGAAAGCGUGGGGAGCGAACAGGAUUAGAUACCCUGGUAGUCCACGCCGUAAACGAUGCUAACUCGUUUUUGGGCUUUAGGGUUCAGAGACCAAGCGAAAGUGAUAAGUUAGCCACCUGGGGAGUACGCUCGCAAGAGUGAAACUCAAAGAAAUUGACGGGGGCCCGCACAAGCGGUGGAUUAUGUGGUUUAAUUCGAUGAUACGCGAGGAACCUUACCGAGACUUAAAUGGGAAUUGACAGCUUUAGAAAUAGAGCUUUCUUCGGACAAUUUUCAAGGUGCUGCAUGGUUGUCGUCAGCUCAUGCCGUGAGGUGUUAGGUUAAGUCCUGCAACGAGCGCAACCCCUGUCACUAGUUGCCAUCAUUCAGUUGGGGACUCUAGUGAGACUGCCUACGCAAGUAGAGAGGAAGGUGGGGAUGACGUCAAAUCAUCACGGCCCUUACGUCUUGGGCCACACACGUAAUACAAUGGCCGGUACAGAGGGCAGCUACACAGCGAUGUGAUGCAAAUCUCGAAAGCCGGUCUCAGUUCGGAUUGGAGUCUGCAACUCGACUCUAUGAAGCUGGAAUCGCUAGUAAUCGCGCAUCAGCCAUGGCGCGGUGAAUACGUUCCCGGGCCU
This 1345-nucleotide ribosomal RNA is filed under the name uncultured bacterium. RNAcentral describes it as "bacterial SSU rRNA". It matches the Rfam family "Bacterial small subunit ribosomal RNA", at positions 28 to 1381 of the family's 1533-position model. The record is from RNAcentral.